AUGAUCCCCGUGGGAGAGAUCGGCCCCUGACGAUUGGGCCGGCGCCGAAGGAGCAACCGCCCCUGGAAACUCUCAGGCAAAAGGACCGCGGGGGGAUG
This 98-nucleotide non-coding RNA is filed under the name Paramagnetospirillum magneticum. RNAcentral describes it as "Magnetospirillum magneticum Glycine sequence". It matches the Rfam family "Glycine riboswitch aptamer". Rfam says of the family: This family represents the bacterial glycine riboswitch. Glycine riboswitches usually consist of two metabolite-binding aptamers domains with similar structures in tandem. The aptamers cooperatively bind glycine to regulate the expression of downstream genes. The record is from RNAcentral. RNAcentral also lists the same sequence under 1 other name. Lineage: Bacteria; Pseudomonadati; Pseudomonadota; Alphaproteobacteria; Rhodospirillales; Magnetospirillaceae.